Molecule: ribosomal RNA, 253 nt
Filed under: uncultured bacterium
Lineage: Bacteria
Description: partial 16S ribosomal RNA
Rfam family: Bacterial small subunit ribosomal RNA
Source: RNAcentral
UACGUAGGGUGCAAGCGUUGUCCGGAAUUAUUGGGCGUAAAGAGCGUGUAGGCGGCCCGACAAGUCCGCUGUGAAAGUCCAGGGCUCAACCCUGGAAUGCCGGUGGAUACUGUCGGGCUAGAGUCCGGAAGGGGCGAGUGGAAUUCCUGGUGUAGCGGCGAAAUGCGCAGAUAUCAGGAAGAACACCCGUGGCUAAGGCGGCUCUCUAGUACGGUACUGACGCUGAGACGCGAAAGCGUGGGGAGCGAACAGG